This 450-nucleotide ribosomal RNA is filed under the name uncultured bacterium. Its description in RNAcentral is "partial 16S ribosomal RNA". It matches the Rfam family "Bacterial small subunit ribosomal RNA", at positions 354 to 796 of the family's 1533-position model. The record is from RNAcentral.
GUGGGGAAUAUUGGACAAUGGGGGAAAGCCUGAUCCAGCCAUGCCGCGUGUGUGAAGAAGGUCUUCGGAUUGUAAAGCACUUUAAGUUGGGAGGAAGGGCAGUAAGUUAAUACCUUGCUGUUUUGACGUUACCGACAGAAUAAGCACCGGCUAACUUCGUGCCAGCAGCCGCGGUAAUACGAAGGGUGCAAGCGUUAAUCGGAAUUACUGGGCGUAAAGCGCGCGUAGGUGGUUUUGUAAGUUGGAGGUGAAAUCUCCGGGCUCAACCUGGGAACUGCCUCCAAAACUGCAUGACUAGAGUACGGUAGAGGGUAGUGGAAUUUCCCGGGUAGCGGUGAAAUGCGUAGAUAUAGGAAGGAACACCAGUGGCGAAGGCGACUACCUGGACUGAUACUGACACUGAGGUGCGAAAGCGUGGGGAGCAAACAGGAUUAGAUACCCCAGUAGUCC